ACAUAUAGCCCUUUUUUUAAUAAUCAUUUCUUUGUUUUCAAUUUCUUUGUUAACAACCAAAUGCAUCGAUGAUUUUUUUGGUUGACUAAUAUCCUUCGCAAAUUUUGUCAUCUGGAUUUCUUUACGUUUUGUUUGUAAUGCAUAUUGCAUCGAUGUUAGUUUAGUUUUUGUAAUAUUGGCCUAAUUUAUUUUGUUUACGUAUGUGGAAUGGGCAUUGUAAGUUGGUCGCAAAUGACUUAUUCCUUGAUAUAAAAAAUGGAAAUCUAGACCUAUGUGUUAUGUUCCUACAAUCUGGCCCUGGAAUAACUGCGGGACUCCAGCAAGUAAAUCAAGAAAGAAAAUUGAUCGAAACUCCAAAGAUGAUGGAGAUGGUGAUGAAUGAAGAAAGCACGACAUAGGUUCCUCAAAAGACACAAAUCAUUUUUGUGCUGCUCCCAAGGCUUAUCCAGUUAGCUCUGAACUUCGACGAGUUCCAACUGACAUAGAGCAAACUUUAGGCCUUGGAGCCAAGGGCUGUAUGAAGUUUCCCAUGCUCCUCACCUUUUUUACAAGCAUUUGAGGCUCAAGCAUCAGCUUGUAUUGGAAGUUACAUCAAAACUACUGUAUUAAUUCCCAAAAUUACAUGAAGUAUGUGCAUGCUAUCUUCUAUAUGAAGUUAUAGAAUGGUACCAUCAAACUGUUUUAAGGAGGCAAUAUGGACCUACAUGUUAACUUAUGAACAUUGAACCUAAUGCACUAGGUGGAACUCCAUUUGCUUGUUUUAACAAAACUAUUAAAUAUCAUUACUCCGCAAGUGCUCGUUUUUACUUAUCAUGUGUGUUGUACAUAAUCAUUGUACCUCUGAUAAGUUAUGGUUUCUGCCGUUAUAGUUGAUUUUCUUACUUUUGUUUUCUCUUCGAGGUCAUGACUCUAGCAUGCACAUUAGCCUGCAUUAAAGCUUUAUUUCUGUUGAACAUUUAUAAGUUGUAUGUCUCUUUGUUUCUGUUACUAGUUAUACUUUUUUUUUGAGGAAUGUUACUAGUUAUACUUGAGCUUAUGCCACACACUUGUAUUUUUUUCCUGCAACGCAAGUGGACCAUAUUUUUUGCAUGUGUCUACUUGAGCUUAUGCACGAUUUAUGAUUCAGAUUUCCACUACUUUUGGCUUGUUUUGCUUUUGAGCUUUCAUUUUGAUUUUGUAAACGGGAGAGUGUUAUCUUGCUGCUGAAUUAUUCACCCAGGGCACCUACAUUUGUAGUCACAUUUUACUAAUUAAGAGAAGUUAGUUAUGGUUGUUGUAUCUUAACCUAGUUUGACCUCUAUUUUCUUGUUGGUUUCCAGGGAUUUGGCUUGUCAAAGCUGAUGCCUUCAUUUUCUCCCAACUGAGCUUCUCGUGCACCGACGUAUUCUGGUAGCAACUGGCAAGGAUAUUUUUUUUCUCGAACACAUGCCAAAGCAUGUGUCAUUAUAUAUUAUAAGAUGCCGUCAAGAAGACGGAAGCAAACCAGAUGUACAACAAGGCAAGGGCCAAGAGAAGAAAAGAAGAAAAGAAAAUAAAAGAAGAAAAGAUGUACAACUGGCGAGGAUAUGAAAUAACACUAGCCUCUGCUAGAACUUCUCUCUUGUAGGCAACACAUGCAGUGUCAAGAUAUUCACACCCAAGGCCCACUGCGAAGACCUUGCCGCCACCAUUCUGGACCACAUCGACAUCAACAUCCAGAUGUACCCUCCAUGGCUUAUGAGAAAUGCUUCCAGAAGCUGUGCUACAUCGGCCGAUGAGAAGUGGGAUCUGCAUCGCUGGCAGGACCAUUGAAACUGUGAUGCAUCUAGUUGUGUUCAGUAAUGCCAAGUCAAAGAUUAUUGGUUCAAUGUGCUCCACUAGCAUGAAGGAAGGCAUAAUUAAGUGGUCUGGUAUGAAGUCAACACCGGCAUGUUCUGCUACCAGAUGUAUUUUGUUGCAUACGGAAUUCUUUUUUAUCCUAGAUUUGACAUGGUUAAAAUGUCAUUAAGUAGAGGUAGAACAUGAUGUCAACUACUCAUUGGCUUCUCCCACUUAUCGGUGGUUCGGUCCGGCAUGGCCUGGCUGUUCGGUCUCAGGUGGUGCUACUAUGGUGGUGGUGAUGUUAUGCCUUGUCUACAACCUC
Lolium perenne is the source of this 2122-nucleotide non-coding RNA. The record is from RefSeq and is a predicted model, not a curated record. NCBI's taxonomy places the organism in Eukaryota, Viridiplantae, Streptophyta, Magnoliopsida, Poales, Poaceae.